This 109-nucleotide ribosomal RNA is filed under the name uncultured eukaryote. RNAcentral's name for it is "partial small subunit ribosomal RNA". It matches the Rfam family "Eukaryotic small subunit ribosomal RNA", at positions 1676 to 1785 of the family's 1831-position model. The record is from RNAcentral.
UCGCUCCUACCGAUUGAGUGAUCCGGUGAAUAAUUCGGACUGCAGCAGCAUUCAGUUCCUGGGUACUGCAGCGGAAAGUUUAGUGAACCUUAUCACUUAGAGGAAGGAG